This 1336-nucleotide long non-coding RNA is filed under the name Scleropages formosus (Asian bonytongue). Its description in RNAcentral is "lncRNA (ENSSFOG00015026454.1)". Lineage: Eukaryota; Metazoa; Chordata; Actinopteri; Osteoglossiformes; Osteoglossidae. The record is from RNAcentral.
UGUUGCAGCAACUUGGUAAGAAGGUUUUCUGCUGUAGAAGCUGCAAAAUUUUUUACAGAGUGGAUGGAAAAUGGUGAUAGUAACAUUUCAGAUGUUGAAUUUGAUAUUAGAAAUGUUCCAGAAGAAGAUUCCUUUGGAACAGAUUCUAGCAUAGACAGCAAUUUUGCUAAAAUAGUAUAUAGUACAGCUUGUCAGAAGGAAGAUGGUAAGGUUUUGUGUGUGAACCAAGGCAAACAAGGGAGUGUUUUUCUUUUGUCAAAAAUGGCAACAGUAAAUGGAUUACCAUGGAGCCACAGACACAAACGAAACGUUCAGUUCCUACCAUUGUCAGUAAAGCUGCUGGCUGUGUUGGAGUGCAGCAACAUGAUUUCAAAGAGAAUGACUGCUGAUGUUGUACACCCCCAAAGAAAUCACCACCACAACCUUGAGGAAACGUUGAAUCAGUGCUUCUGCAGUGGUACCAGCACUGCCAGCGGUCAAGGAGCUAGGCCUGGAGACACCAUUCUUGUUAUUAAUGGCUGUAAUUUCUAUGGCCCAACAGGCUGGCUGCACCACAAAACUCCUCCGCAUUAAUUGUGCUUCCCCUUUUGCAUACUUGUCAGUGGCCACUCAUAAAACACUGUGUUCAAUUUGAAAUUUUAAUAACUGUGCAUGGCACAAUCCAUCAGUAGCAGCUUAAAUUACUGAUCUGGCUGCAUUUCCAAAAGGACUUUUAAUUAAUUGCACCUCCUUCUGUCUUAAUACAAACCUGCUGAAGUAGAGUCUCUUUAACCACCACCCAUGCCACUUUACAUCAACCAUAUGACACCCAUACAACCAAUCCUACAUCACCAAUUACAACCCCUCCUCAGCUCUCCACCAAGCAUAUCCCACCAUUGCAAUCAACACUGUUCUACCCUACAUCAUGAACCAUGUGACACUCAUAGAAUCAAACCCAUCAAACCCUGUGCCAUUAACCAGGUCUCACCCAUACAUCACCAACCAUACCUAACCUAUGUAACUAACACCAAGAACAAUACAUCCAUACAAUGAAUUCUACCUUGCUGCACCCUACCCUCAAUGGGACUGGAUGUUCAUGAGUCCAGCCAAGGCUGAUCAUAUUUAUUGAAAUGGCUUCCCUUGAACCCCUCUAUGACACCAUGGGCCAAAGAUCUGAGCUCAAAGAUCAGUUGGAGGAACUCCCUAUGACUCUUCUGCUCCCCCAACAAGGUUGUGAAGAGCAACCAGAUCCUGGCAGAUCAACUGCUAUUUACAGUUUUCCCAUUUUGACUCUUCCUCAUUGUGAUUCAACAUUGUGAUUCAAAACCACACUAAUAAACACCUGUUGCAGACAGCA